AAAUAGCCAAUGUGAACCAGUCUUUGACCACUCCUACUUUUCUCAACGGCGUUCCACCACCGGCCCGCCCACUUUCUUCACAUUUACUGAUUUAACAGUGUUUGUGAUCACUGGCUGCUCCGAACUUUCAAGAGGAUCUUAAAUAUCAUCAAGGACAUGAACGCCAAUAAGAAGUUGUACGGGAAGGACCUGAGCGAGUAUGAGAACAUGGACCUGGACGAGCUGUUGGACCAGCUCACACCGGAGGAGGUGGACAUCCUUACCAGGGACGUCGAUCCGGACGAUGACCUGAUGCCGCCCAGCCAGCGGACCUCGUACCGCUGUGAGAAGGAUCCCACCGGCCCGCUCAACAGGAAGCGGCUCAUUGAACACAUUCAGCAGCAGGCUCUGAACGAGCCCGACCGGCCCGAGAUGGUGCCCUACCAGCAGGGCGUGGUCAGAGGCAAAAAGUGGAUCCCGCCGCCGCCGCCGCUGGCCGAACAGCGCCUGGAAGAGGAGAUCGCCCUCGACCUCGGCGACGAGUACGAAUCGGCCCUGGGCGAGGCCAACGAAAACGAACUGGUCGACCUGGCAGCGAUCCUGGGCUUCCACUCGAUGAUGAACCAGGACCAGUACCACGCCUCGCUGCUCGGAAAGCGGAUCGAAUCGGACGUCGGAUGGGCGGGCAUCACGCGCGCCACCCGGCCCAAGCCGAUGGCGCCCGAGCCGCCCAACAUGACCGACCCGGAGCAGUCCAUCGAGCGGCUGCGCCAGGACGACCCUGACCUGCAGAUGCUCAACCUCAACAAUAUCAAGAACAUGUCUGAUGAGCAGAUUGAGCGGCUGUGCGACGCGGCUGCGUCCAACACCCGUCUGGAGAACCUCUACAUGUCCAACACGGGCCUGAGUGACCGGCACGGGGAGCACCUGGUGGCGCUCAUCGAGAAAAACAAUACCAUCAAGGAGAUCAGUAUCGAGUCCAACUUCAUCAGUCCUGCUAUGAUUGCGCGGCUAGUAAAGGCGUUGCUCAAGAAUAAAACUGUUGAGGCCUUCCGAGCUGCCAACCAGCGAUCUCAGGUGCUGGGUAAUAAGAUCGAGAUGGAGAUCACCAAGUACGUGGAGGACAACCCCACCAUCCUGCAGAUGGGUCUGCACUUUGAGUUCAACGACGCCCGGGCGCGCGUCUCGGCGCAGCUACAGAAGAACCGCGACAGGUUUCGGAAGUGCGACUGAGGCGCAUCGGCAGGGCCUGUCGCAACUCCACUGCCGGCUUCGUCCGGCGCCAGCUGCCGGUGUAGACGGCGGCGUCCAGCGCCGGCGCCCCGGGCGUCCGUGGGGCGCUCCCAGUCCGGCGCCCCGGGCAUCAGCGGCGAGCACCUUAUGUAGUGGCUCCUCCUCUCGCUUGGCUUCUCUCCGCGGCGGUGGCGACCGGCCACCGGGCCGGCCGGCCGCCCGUGUCGAGAGCGCGCGCUCGCGCCGCCCGCCGGCCGCUUUCCUUGUACGAUGCGCCGCCGUCGGGCGAUGUGACUUGAUGUUUUUACUUUUUACACAUACUUUGCCGGGUGGUAUAGCUGACGUGGGCCUUGUUUGGAUGCGCGGACUCCCGGGCAGAGGCCCCAUUUUACAGAGGACUCCGAUGACACGUAGUCGCCGAUGCAGCCUCAUAUUUUGUUUGCGAAAUGAAAGUUUAGGACCUAGGUGCUUGUCCGAGUGGAAUGGUAUUUAUGGAUUUAUUUGUAUCAAAUAAAAUGUGCAAAAUUGAA
Molecule: unclassified non-coding RNA, 1742 nt
Filed under: Amphibalanus amphitrite
Lineage: Eukaryota; Metazoa; Arthropoda; Thecostraca; Balanomorpha; Balanidae
Description: tropomodulin-like, transcript variant X7
Source: RNAcentral